AGGGUUUGAUCAUGGCUCAGAACGUACGCUGGCGGCACGCCUAACACAUGCAAGUCGAACGAAGUAGCAAUACUUAGUGGCAGACGGGUGAGUAACAUGUGGGUAUCUGCCCUUUGGCCUGGAAUAACACGAGGAAACUUGUGCUAAUACCGGAUAAGUCUUUACGGAGAAAGCUUUAUGCACCAUUGGAUGAGCCUGCACUUGAUUAGUUUGUUGGUGGGGUAAUGGCCUACCAAGACUGUGAUCAAUAGCUGAUUUGAGAGGAUGAUCAGCCACAUUGGGACUGAGACACGGCCCAAACUCCUACGGGAGGCAGCAGUGGGGAAUCUUGCACAAUGGAGGAAACUCUGAUGCAGCGAUGCCGCGUGAGUGAAGAAGGCCCUUGGGUUGUAAAGCUCUUUCGUCGGGGAAGAAAAUGACUGUACCCGAAUAAGAAGGUCCGGCUAACUUCGUGCCAGCAGCCGCGGUAAUACGAAGGGACCUAGCGUAGUUCGGAAUUACUGGGCUUAAAGAGUUCGUAGGUGGUUGAAAAAGUUAGUGGUGAAAUCCCAGAGCUUAACUCUGGAACUGCCAUCAAAACUUUUCAGCUAGAGUAUGAUAGAGGAAAGCAGAAUUUCUAGUGUAGAGGUGAAAUUCGUAGAUAUUAGAAAGAAUACCAAUUGCGAAGGCAGCUUUCUGGAUCAUUACUGACACUGAGGAACGAAAGCAUGGGUAGCGAAGAGGAUUAGAUACCCUCGUAGUCCAUGCCGUAAACGAUGUGUGUUAGACGUUGGAAAUUUAUUUUCAGUGUCGCAGCGAAAGCGAUAAACACACCGCCUGGGGAGUACGACCGCAAGGUUAAAACUCAAAUGAAUUGACGGGGACCCGCACAAGUAGUGGAGCAUGUGGUUUAAUUCGAAGAUACGCGCAGAACCUUACCAACACUUGACAUGUUCGUCGCGACUCUAAGAGAUUAGAGUUUUCGGUUCGGCCGGACGAAACACAGGUGCUGCAUGGCUGUCGUCAGCUCGUGUCGUGAGAUGUUGGGUUAAGUCCCGCAACGAGCGCAACCCUCACUUUUAGUUGCCAUCAUUAAGUUGGGCACUCUGAAAGAACUGCCAGUGAUAAGCUGGAGGAAGGUGGGGAUGACGUCAAGUCCUCAUGGCCCUUACGUGUUGGGCUACACACGUGCUACAAUGGUAUCUACAACAGGAAGCAAGACUGCGAAGUUAAGCAAAUCCCUAAAAGAUACCUCAGUUCGGAUUGCACUCUGCAACUCGAGUGCAUGAAGCUGGAAUUACUAGUAAUCGUGGAUCAGCGUGCCACGGUGAAUGCGUUCCCGGGUCUUGUACACACCGCCCGUCACACCAUGGGAGUUGGUUCUACCUUAAGGCAAGGUUUCAAACCCUUGACCACGGUAUAGUCAGCGACUGGGGUGAAGUCAUAACAAGGUAGCCGUA
RNAcentral lists this ribosomal RNA (1439 nucleotides) under uncultured bacterium. RNAcentral describes it as "bacterial SSU rRNA". It matches the Rfam family "Bacterial small subunit ribosomal RNA". The record is from RNAcentral.